CCUACGGGGGGCAGCAGUGGGGAAUAUUGGACAAUGGGGGCAACCCUGAUCCAGCCAUGCCGCGUGUGUGAAGAAGGCCCUCGGGUUGUAAAGCACUUUCAGUGAGGAAGAACGCCUGGUGGUUAAUACCCAUCAGGAAAGACAUCACUCACAGAAGAAGCACCGUCUAACUCCGUGCCAGCAGCCGCGGUAAUACGGAGGGUGCGAGCGUUAAUCGGAAUUACUGGGCGUAAAGCGCGCGUAGGUGGCUUGAUAAGCCGGUUGUGAAAGCCCCGGGCUCAACCUGGGAACGGCAUCCGGAACUGUCAAGCUUGAGUGCAGGAGAGGAAGGUAGAAUUCCCGGUGUAGCGGUGAAAUGCGUAGAGAUCGGGAGGAAUACCAGUGGCGAAGGCGGCCUUCUGGACUGACACUGACGCUGAGGUGCGAAAGCGUGGGUAGCAAACAGGAUUAGAUACCCGAGUAGUC
RNAcentral lists this ribosomal RNA (465 nucleotides) under Vreelandella stevensii. RNAcentral describes it as "partial 16S ribosomal RNA". It matches the Rfam family "Bacterial small subunit ribosomal RNA", at positions 338 to 795 of the family's 1533-position model. Lineage: Bacteria; Pseudomonadati; Pseudomonadota; Gammaproteobacteria; Oceanospirillales; Halomonadaceae. The record is from RNAcentral.